RNAcentral lists this long non-coding RNA (1131 nucleotides) under Malus domestica (apple). Its description in RNAcentral is "long non-coding RNA (MDOM_LNC005436)". The record is from RNAcentral. Lineage: Eukaryota; Viridiplantae; Streptophyta; Magnoliopsida; Rosales; Rosaceae.
CUCUCUCUCUUCCGUCGACUGACCUCUCUCCAAUCGCACCAUCCAAAGCCAUCACCACCAACAUCCACAUCGGUCGCAGAGCAAGUCCCAGACUUGCUUUGUAAAUUUCUUGUCGGUGAUGGCGUUUUCAUGCAUGUGAAAUCAUUUUAUGAGAAAGCAAAAUGAGAAAGCCAUGUGAAAUCGUUUUCUGAGAAAGCAAAAUGAGAAAGCCAUGUGCUCGCGGUUUUGAAAUCAUUUUCUGAUUUCUGAGAAAGCAAAAGAAGAAAGCCAUGUGAAAUCAUCUUCUGAGAAAGUGAAAAGAGAAAGUAAGAGCAAAAACAAAAACAAAAGCAAUAAAGGUACAGAGGAAAGGCAAAAGCAAUCAAAUGAGCUGUAGGAAACAAAAGCAAAAGCAAGGAAUAAACACACACACUGCAAAAGCAAGGUAUAAACACCCCACCAGAAUGAUAAGAUUUACUUUUCUUGUUUUUGAAUGAUGUGAUUUAUUUUUCUUAUCUUUUCGGAGACAUCUGUACAAGCCCAAAAUAAUGGGCUAAAAUGUUAUAUGAAAGGCAAAGGCCCUGCCCAAAAGAGCCAGACCCUCUAUUAUCACCAACCAGGUGAUCAAAAGUACGUCCAGUACUACAAAAAAUUAUUCGGCAGCCUGCCGCUAUUACCACCAACCAGGUGAUCAAAAGUACGUCUAGUACUACAAAAAAUUAUUCGGCAGCCUGCCGCUAUUACCACCAACCAGGUGAUCAAAAGUACGCCAGUACUCCAAAAUUAUUCGGCAGCCUGCCGCUAUUAUCACCAACCAGGUGAUCAAAAGUACGUCCAGUACUAUAAAAUUAUACAUGAGCAUCACUCAUGUCAAUCAUACAUAAACAUUUAUGAGCAUCAUUCAUGUCAAUCAUACAUAAACAUUCAUGACCAUCAUUCAUGUUAACAUUCAUGAGCAUCACUCAUGUUAACAUCCAUGAGCAUCACUCAUGUUAAUCAACAUAAACAUUCAUGAGCAUCACUCAUGUCAAUCAGCUUCGAAAACUUCAUUUACAGAGCUCCAGCUUCAAAAGCUUCAUUUAUAAAGCUCCAGCUUUAAAAGCUUCACUUGAAAAGCUUCACCUACAAAGCUUCAGUGCAGGGUAUAUAAAU